RNAcentral lists this long non-coding RNA (1236 nucleotides) under Oryctolagus cuniculus (rabbit). RNAcentral describes it as "lncRNA (ENSOCUG00000033390.1)". Lineage: Eukaryota; Metazoa; Chordata; Mammalia; Lagomorpha; Leporidae. The record is from RNAcentral.
GAAAAGAAAAGAAAACUGAAUCCUAAAAGCAGAGAAGGAAAAGAACUUUUAACUCAGAGAAAGGAUGAGUUUUGGAAACUUACAAGUUUCCAUCAAUCGUGGAGAUCAAAAUGUUUCUUUUGCUUUAUAAAUACUUCUCUAGUACCCUCCCAAUCCCAUAUUGUUAUGAAACCUAGAUGUGAGAAAGCAUUUCCAAAAAUAAAAUGGAGAUUUGAUUUUAUUUUUUUCCAAAAUCUUAGCAAAUUGGGUUUCAAGGCCAAAUUGGAAUUAGUUCAGAAAAAAAAUCAGCUUUUAUUCUUGGUCUGAAAGAUUAUAGUCAAUUUUAUAUUUGACAGCCAUUAAGAUUCCCAAGAUCACUAAAAAUAUCCUCUCAUAUUACAGCUGCAUUAUAUAUGGACUAAUCAAAAUACCAAUAUAUUAAACUUAUUGGAUUUUUAGAUAUAUAGAAAUAGACAUAUUUAUGGGGUACCAUGUGAUAUUUUGAUUGUAUUGAAGAAAACUGUGCAGACAGAUGAACACUGUUAAUAAUCACUUUGACCCUUAACAUAAACAAUAAUAAGAAAUGACAACAGUGGGCGAUGCUGAGACUCAAUUUAUUUUUAAAAUGAUUACAAACACCCCUAGGUAGAAAUAACCUGAGUGGCCAAAGCUUCUAAAGGGAAGCAAGACAACAUAUCACAGAAGGUUACUUUUUAGAUCCCCUGUAGGCCAUGAACUUCUAAGAAGAACAUUUUCUUGAAUUGGAAAGGGCACUAGGUAAAAGAAGUCUUGGAUUUGCAUAACAUCCUAAGUGUAAAUGUGAACUCACAUGAGGUAUAGUGUUUUAAGACAGUGUACUGUGAAAAUACCUUAAGCUUCUGACAAAAAUAGUAAAGUCCUGGAAAAUGGAUGCAUUUUCAAAGAGUAGAAAGACAGUUCCAACAGAAGAGGGAUCCAAAUGCUGGAGAAGGCCCAUGACUCAAGCAUGACAAUACCACAUAGUAUCCAAGUCCACAACAGCUGCAACCUUUAGAAAAUGAUCUCUCUAGGGUCUUCAUCUCUGAGUAUUAUACAACUCAAGAGUGCACGGCUGAUUUACCUGAGCACUUUAGGUACAGCUUUGGCCAUGCUGAAAACCAGAGAGAAAUACAAAUCAGCUUCUUGAAUAUUCAUCCAAAUGAAAAUGAAAGUGUAUCUGCAUUUAGCUGAAGCUAAAAACUGAUUCAGAAACUCUUGGCCACAAAACACUCAGGAUUG